GACGUAGGGCGCGAGCGUUGUCCGGAUUUAUUGGGCGUAAAGAGCUCGUAGGCGGCUUGUCGCGUCGACUGUGAAAACUCGGGGCUCAACUCCGAGCUUGCAGUCGAUACGGGCAGGCUAGAGUUCGGUAGGGGAGACUGGAAUUCCUGGUGUAGCGGUGAAAUGCGCAGAUAUCAGGAGGAACACCAACGGCGAAGGCAGCUCGCUAGGACGGUACUGACGCUAAGGCGCGAAAGCGUGGGGAGCGAACAGG
This 253-nucleotide ribosomal RNA is filed under the name uncultured bacterium. RNAcentral describes it as "partial 16S ribosomal RNA". It matches the Rfam family "Bacterial small subunit ribosomal RNA", at positions 524 to 776 of the family's 1533-position model. The record is from RNAcentral.